UUCGGGUCCGGGGAAAGCGGCGAACGGGUGAGUAACACGUGGGUAAUCUGCCCUCGGUACUGGGAUAGCCCGGGGAAACCCGGAUUAAUACCGGAUGGCCUUUCGAGCUCUCGGGCUCGUUAGAAAAGGUGGCUUCGGCUUCCGACUGAGGAUGAGCCCGCGGCGGAUUAGCUUGUUGGUGAGGUAAUGGCUCACCAAGGCUCCGAUCCGUAGCUGGUCUGAGAGGACGAUCAGCCACACUGGGACUGAGACACGGCCCAGACUCCUACGGGAGGCAGCAGUAGGGAAUCUUGCGCAAUGGGCGAAAGCCUGACGCAGCGACGCCGCGUGCGGGAAGAAGGCCUUCGGGUUGUAAACCGCUUUCAGGAGGGACGAAGCCACUCGGGCUAAUACCCCAGAGGGUGACGGUACCUCCAGAAGAAGCCCCGGCUAACUACGUGCCAGCAGCCGCGGUAAUACGUAGGGGGCAAGCGUUGUCCGGAUUUAUUGGGCGUAAAGAGCGUGUAGGCGGCCAGACAGGUCAACUGUGAAAACUCGAGGCUCAACCUCGAGAUGUCGGCUGAAACCAUCUGGCUAGAGUCCGGAAGAGGAGAAUGGAAUUCCCGGUGUAGCGGUGAAAUGCGCAGAUAUCGGGAAGAACACCCGUGGCGAAGGCGGUUCUCUGGGACGGUACUGACGCUGAGACGCGAAAGCGUGGGGAGCGAACAGGAUUAGAUACCCUGGUAGUCCACGCCGUAAACGAUGGGUGCUAGGUGUGGGCGGUG
This 764-nucleotide ribosomal RNA is filed under the name uncultured Actinomycetes bacterium. RNAcentral's name for it is "bacterial SSU rRNA". It matches the Rfam family "Bacterial small subunit ribosomal RNA", at positions 79 to 831 of the family's 1533-position model. Lineage: Bacteria; Bacillati; Actinomycetota; Actinomycetes. The record is from RNAcentral.